This 3125-nucleotide long non-coding RNA is filed under the name Sus scrofa (pig). Its description in RNAcentral is "lncRNA (ENSSSCG00005025940.1)". Lineage: Eukaryota; Metazoa; Chordata; Mammalia; Artiodactyla; Suidae. The record is from RNAcentral.
CAGGACGGUAAAGGUGAACAAGUCUCCGGGGAAGGAAGAUGCCUAUAUUUACGAUAAACACGUUCUUUUAAGAGUUUACGUUGUCUAGUUUUCAACCAUCACCACCCUGAAGAAGUUACGAAAAAGUUAACUUCAUUUUGACGUUGUCUUUCUCAAGGGCUGCGUUUUCAAUCCCGUCCCAUCCUGUACCCAGGCACUGUUUUUCCAGGAUUCACCAUCAAAAGAUGGAUGACUUAAGACUCUUUUAAGACUCAAUUCUUGCAGGGGCGCUUUUUAUGAUCCUCAGCCCACAACCCUCAGAGUGCUUCAGGCCGUCCUGCACACAUAAUCGCCUACUAUGUAUUCCUCACCCGUUACACAAGGUUACUUAUUUCAGCUACUUUGCAGUUGAGAAGUUAAUAGGCACAUACAUGAUUAGUUUCUGGGAGCUUGAGGUGUAUCUUUAUUUCUUAUUCUGAAAAACAGGAGAGGGAGCUCUUUGGAUAGUGCUCCUCACCGAGAAAUCGAGAAAGGGAAACCAGGCAGAGAAAAACAAAUGGCAGCCAAGCCAAUCCAAAUCAGGAAAGGUGAGGCAAAUCGGCCCACAGGAAUGCUUUCUCUAGUGAGUUCCUUUGGUUCUAAGGAAGGUGGAAAGGAGUGUGUGGUGGGAAGCAGAAAUCACUUCAGUGCUAUAGGUAGGAUUCCUACAGAGAAGGAGAAAUUACCUCCCCCUAGAGAUAGAAUGAUGGCUUGAAAGAGAGCUUUUAACACGUUCGAUUUUUACAUGGGGAACCAUCUCCCCCUAUCCUCCAACUCUGGUUUUUGUCUGCAGGGAUACUGAACACCUAGUUUCUAUUCAGUCUAGUGCUUCUUUUUCUAGGUCACUUCUGGAUGUGAUACUGCAUUUAUAGUAACACUUUCUGCUCCCCCUUGAUCUUGUAACCUGUGGUGCAUUUGAUAACUUUAUUAAAUUAGAAAAAUUAUAUUUCCCACUUCUGAAAUCCAAACCACCACACAAAUAGAAUUAGAGUUUGCAUGCGGAAUGAAUAUUUUAUUACUAGAUUAUAAAAAUAAAAUACAAAAUAAUUUUAAAACAGAACUUAAAACACUGUACAAAGCUUUAAUAUGAUACAAAUGGGAAAAUUAAAUAAAUAAUUACACUUUUAUGUACAGAUGGCCUAUACAAAAGCACUCCAUGUUUCUGCCAAUACUCUAUGUCCUUGGUUGCCUGAGCAAAAAUGCAUAAAGAGGGCUACUUGAGGGUAAAGGGACACAAUACAGUACCUUUGGAGGUAUUUCAAAGAACAGUUUCUCAUCACUCUGUGUCAUGGAGAAGAAAGGAAGAAAACUGUGGAAUUGUUAAAGUUCUCUAUUCUAACUUACUGGUUUUGCUUGACAAAAUUCCUCUGAUUCGUGGGUCCAUUUGAUUUAACAGCUGCCAAGAGUUAAUCUUUCAAGAUUUAGAUCUAAUUCAAAACUAGAUGUUUCCCAACUAUCUCUUUUUUCCUAAAAGCUGUGAACUUGUAAGUAAAUAACUUGGUUAUUUUAGGAAAGGAUCAGGAAGGGGUCAGGAACUGUGAACUGAGGGAACUCAAGCCCAGGUCAUGUGUUCUUUUCUUUAUUCAGUUCACCAUUCCAGUUUCAGAGUCCCAAGUGGUACAGUGUUAUAUUUCCUUUAGCUUUCUAUCUCUGUUUUUCUGAGUGCUUUUUACUUUAGUAAACUAACUGGUCACUAGUUUAAAAAGAAAAAAAAUCCCAAGGGCUUUCCCCUCCCUGGGUUGAUCCCUAAAAUAAAUCACAUUCAAGCUCUGGUAGAUUUGUUUAUCCCUUGUGGAUCAGUGGAGAACACCCUGACAGACUCCAGGUAUGGUUGAACGCUGCGCAUGAAUUUUUUUUUUAAGGAUUUAAACCUUGUAUUUCAAGGGGGGAAGAAAGCAACAUAUGGCAAGCGCAGUCUAUAUAAAAAUUUGGUUUACCCAGUACUUUUAACUGGGAAAGUUAAUACUUAUGUACACAAUAUGAAACAAUAUUAAACUACUUUGAAAAGAGAAAAUUUCCUAUCAUUAGUGUGUAAAAUAAUAUAUCAUCAGCAAAUUCUCUAGUUACAGGGACUCAAAGGUCUGCUUUACUGAAUCCUGUUCUCUAGGUCAAGGAACCCAGAAUUCCUGGCCCAGGGUAUCUGAGAGACAUGUCAAUAUCAUCAGUGAUACAUCCUCUGCCCAUACUAUCACUUCAAUUAAAGAGGCAGAUUCUGUUCAGUUUUCACAGGGUAAUGAAGAAAAAGGCUUCACUUCCUUUACAUGUCUCCUUAAAACCAAGGAUCUCCAGCAAAAUCUAAGGAAAUAUUCAAGUCAUUACUGAGUAAAGGUUUCUACUUGGCUAUUCAGUAUCUUGAGGUUGUGUAUCACCUCAAGGUUACUUUGAUCUUAUUACAUUCUUUAAUUUUCUGGUCCAAAUUUGCUUAAGGGGGAUAAUUAAACAUCUAGUUUAUGUUUUAAAAGUUGGAGCAGAUAAUCACAGCUGAAUUAGAAAAUGUAUGGAUGGGUCAAGACUUUAAUAGCAUCAUUUCAUGUCCAGCCAGGGAUCUGAGAUAUGCAGCACCCAAACUCCCCUUUAAUUGGGAUCCUUGUCCCAUGUCGGGGAGUUACUAAGAACUAUAGGAAUUCCGCAUUUAUCUCCUGCAGUUCUCUCUAGCAAUGUUGGUAAAUAUCAACAUGUGAGGACUACCAUAGUGGUUACAUGCCUUAAUCCUGUAAUACUUUUUGUAUUAGAAGAUAGAUAAGUAACUAUUCUGCAAAUAGUUACUAUUGAUUGGUUCUGUAGACAACUAUUCUGCAACAGAACCAAACUCAAAAAAAUUAAAGUACAGUUGUCAUCAACCAUUCUAUCUCCUUAGUGAUACAGGUGCUGAAAUAGUCCUCCCUUUAGGCAAAGUCCCAACACAUAAACAGAAAUGGACAGAUUUUAAAAGAGUAAAUGCAAAUAACUUAAUCCCAAAACACAUCAACAUGACAGAAGAAACAAACGGUUCCCUAACAUAUGCCACAUUUUGAUAGCUAUAAAGGAAUGAAAAAAGGUUUAAAAUGGGAAAAUUUUGAUCUUUAAGACGAAAUCUAGACUUAUCUACAAAUAAAUGUAUUUUCAAA